AGAGUUUGAUCAUGGCUCAGGACGAACGCUGGCGGCGUGCUUAACACAUGCAAGUCGAACGAGGUCCACCGCGUAGCAAUACAAGGGAAGACCUAGUGGCGAACGGGUGCGUAACACGUGAGAAACCUGUCCUGGUCUCUGGGAUAACAGUUGGAAACGACUGCUAAUACCGGAUGCCGUCGGAGCGUCGCAUGGCGCGCUGACGAAAGGGUUACUGGAUCAGGAGGGUCUCGCGGCCUAUCAGCUUGUUGGUGGGGUAACGGCCUACCAAGGCAUCGACGGGUAGCUGGUCUGAGAGGAUGAUCAGCCACACUGGGACUGAGACACGGCCCAGACUCCUACGGGAGGCAGCAGAGGGGAAUUUUGGACAAUGGGCGCAAGCCUGAUCCAGCCAUGCCGCGUGCAGGAAGAAGGCCUUCGGGUUGUAAACUGCUUUUGUCAGGGAAGAAAUCUUCUGGGCUAAUACCCCGGGAGGAUGACGGUACCUGAAGAAUAAGCACCGGCUAACUACGUGCCAGCAGCCGCGGUAAUACGUAGGGUGCAAGCGUUAAUCGGAAUUACUGGGCGUAAAGCGUGCGCAGGCGGUGAUGUAAGACAGAGGUGAAAUCCCCGGGCUCAACCUGGGAACUGCCUUUGUGACUGCAUCGCUGGAGUGCGGCAGAGGGGGAUGGAAUUCCGCGUGUAGCAGUGAAAUGCGUAGAUAUGCGGAGGAACACCGAUGGCGAAAGCAAUCCCCUGGGCCUGCACUGACGCUCAUGCACGAAAGCGUGGGGAGCAAACAGGAUUAGAUACCCCGGUAGU
This 801-nucleotide ribosomal RNA is filed under the name uncultured bacterium. RNAcentral describes it as "bacterial SSU rRNA". It matches the Rfam family "Bacterial small subunit ribosomal RNA", at positions 8 to 794 of the family's 1533-position model. The record is from RNAcentral.